UACGAACGGAUGCGAGUUUUAAGAAAACAUGCGGAUGCGAUAUGCAUGAUGACAUGAUGAAAUGCAACAAGCAAAAAUAAAACACAUGGUGACAACAAAAUAGCUGGAAGACUUCUGGAGCGUCGGUCUUGGGGCGUCACAAUGGGUCACUUGGGUGAAAAUCAUGGAAAUGCCCAAGUGUUUAAGUCCAAGUGAGUUGAUUCAAAAACUCAAAUUCAAAGCAAAUGGCAAGAAAAUCUAGAAAAAGAAAGAGGGCAAAACCAGGCUGUCACAUGGGGCAAUCUGUAAAGAGCAGACACCUAGAAUUUUGAGCAUGGGGGAGGUAUUGACACCAAGAAAAGGAGACUACCUUCUGAGCGGGAUAUUUGAAUCUAAAGGACCAUAGAGUGAAGUCGCUCACAAUAUUCAUAAUAAUGGUGAGGCCAGCGGUCUGGUCUUCAUUGCGAAAGACAAGAUGAAGCUUUCCUUGAGUCCCAAAUCUUCCGUGUAAUGGAGAGAGCCGCCAAAUGUUGUUGACGAGGCCAACUGGAGAGCAGAUGUCCCAGAUGAGGUCCAUUGCGGUGGGCUUCGAAAGGCCCAACUCUUGCCAAACCUGAGUAGCAUGCGGGAAGUGGAUGAACAUGUGCAUCACAUCCUGGAAACUAGGGCAGGAGUUAGCGGAGGUGAUGUUAUUGUGGAAGAGAUUGCUUUUGGAGUAGAGGCAAUCUUUGAGGAGCAGACACUCAGAAAUUUGAGUGUGAGAGUCAUUGGCACCGAGACAAGGUGGUGGAGACCUUGGUACUGAAUUCAUGCUCCAGCUAGUUGCUCCCAAAUUCCGAACUGAUGGAGGGAGGCGGGCAAUAUAUUUCAACACUCCCCCUCACGUCUAGGACAUUUUAGUCCUUAGACGUGGGAUCGAUGUAGGCCACAUAAUCAUUUUUAUUUUAUACUACGUUGGCAGGGUCUUGAACUCAAGACCUCUUGGCUCUGAUACCAUAUUGAAUUCAUGCUUCAGCCAGUUGCUCCAAAAGUCUGAACUGAUGGAGGGAGGCAGGCAAUAUAUUUCAACACUUGGAUAUUUGAAUCUAAUAAAGGACCAAAGGGUGAAGUCGCUGACUAUUUUCCUAACGGUGAUGCCAGCGGGUUGGAGUUCCUUUUGCAGAAGAUGCAAGUGUUCUUUGAGUCUCAAAUCUUUUGGUAGAAUGGGAAGAGACACCUGCGACCAAAUCUCGUUGUCGAGGCCAACCAGAGAGGGGGUGCCCCAUACGAGGUCAAAAACAUUCCAUAGAAUGGAGAGAGCCUUUGGCGCCACUUCCCAUUGUUGAGGGCAAUUGAAGAGGGGACAUUAUAAAUGAGGUCGAUGGCGAUGGGCGCGUGAUGAGGACAUCACUAACAAACUUACACCCACAGCCCCUACUGAUACAUAUACAGGACCAAUUACUAGAGCUCGCGCACGGCAAUUAAAUUACCAGGUACUUUCGUUUCUUGGUAAUGAUUCUAAUGUUCAUGAGAAUAUGUUGCUGCCUAAAUUGGAUACAUUUGUCUUACUUACAAAUGAAGGGCCUAGCUUGGACAAGAAGGAUGAUCAUUGGAGCAAGAUCAAGCAUGGAGAUGAUGGCAUGCGCAAGGGGAACAAGAACGGAGUUACAAGUGAUGAUUUCAGGACUUUGAAGCCACCAUAAUGAGUGCGUGAAGCCUUGGACGAAAUAUACAAGAGGCCACUUCAUAAAUUUUGUCCAGAGGCUAUUAUAGGUGCUGCGUCACCUUAUUAUUGGGCCAGGCCCAUGUAAUUUCGAAAUACUUGAGUAUAGGCUGUUUUUAGAGUUUGUAUGUGUGGGGAAACAAGAGUUAGGGUUGGUUUCGGACCCCUCCUCCAAGGGCCACGAAAUUCCCCCCUCUUCCUCCAUAUAUACAGCCCUUAGGGCAUCGUUUAGACUUUGCGUUUUGUUUAGAUUAAAGUUCGCCAUAGCUACAACUUCGCGUUCUUCGUUUAUGUUCAACGACCAAACAAAGGCACCACAGAACCCCACCUUGAUCAAUAAAGCUUUCCUCUUAUAUUCGAAAUAUCCAGAUUGGGAUCUUAGUUUGUUGCUUGUUCUUCGUUUUCCUGCAGGAAACAGGCCUUCUUGGUCAGGUUGAUCGUGCUCCAGUGUGGUCAAUAACCUCUCGGAGUUGGUUUCGCGACUGCUAAGGCGCGACGUCCUCGCACGUUCGUAGUCGAGUCGUCAAAGUCGACUUCCUCCAAAACAAUAGCCACCAUCUCAUCGAAAGACGGGACACCUUUGCCUCUAUCAAGUGGUAUCGGAUUUCCAGGUUGCUCGGUGAGAUUUUACAGUUUUUCGUAGUUUAGAUCGAGUCUGUUCUUCAUACCUAUAGUCCACGAAAAAGGCAAAAAAAUAGGGUUAGUUCAUCUUGUCCGAACCAAUCUGAGCCUUUGCAUAAUCUUUUCUGUAUUUGCUUUGUUGAAUUUGUGGUUGCAUCGUCGUGUCAAGUUGCUGGUCUUAGCGUCUAGUCCUUUAGAGUUUCGAGUUCUGUUCACAAGUUGUCACGCCGCCGCACCACCAUCAUCACCGCUGCCAUAUACCACCAUCAUCAUCACCGCUGCCAUAUACCACCAUCGUCAUCACCGCUGCCAUAUACCACCAUCAUCAUCGCCGCUGCCAUAUACCACAUAUCCACCGCCAUCACACUAAUCCGAGUCCACCUUCAUCACAGAUUCGCCACUAGUCCGUGUUCCACCGCCCUGCAUAUAUCCGCCACCAGUCCAAGUUUCCACCAGAUUCAUCUCCGCCACCAGUCCUAGUUCGAGUCCAGUAAUUGUUGCUUUGUUUUUGAUUUCCAGAUCAUGCCAUACUCCGAGUCAUGACCAAGUCGGACUCCCGAAAUUCCGUGCUACCCGCGGUAGAAAAAUAGUUCCAGUUUAAAAAAAACUAAGUCUGGAAAAUUCUGCCUAGGCAGUUUUUAGGACAUUUGUAGACUUUUUCGAAAAAAAAUUGUUGCGGAGCAAAAAAAUAGAGGACAAGAAAAGUGCAAAAAAAUGUGCAAAGAAAGAGAAAAAAAUUCAGAGUGUGCUCCUCCCUUGUUUACGUGCAGCGCCAUGAUUUUGUUAGUGUUCUAGGCUCGUGUCUCUAGCACGGUCUAGCCUAGGACCACAUUACCAUCGUUGAGCGUUUAUUCAACUUUGCAUCCCUGAAUUGAUUAUUGCAGACCCUUUUUGCUACCAUAUUAUAAGCCUUCCCAGCUCCACAUACAUCUACGUCGUGCGUUUGACUCUCCCUGGCAAUCGCUCUAUCCAAGCUUUUGAGAGUUUUGACUACAACGGUUGCCGAUCACCACCUGCUGCUUGGUAAGAACUGGUAAGAUUUUGAGAUUCGCUUGACGGAUUUGUGACACGCCAGCACCACUUCCUAGUAGUCUGUAGGAUCAUAUUCUUGUGUGUUUCUAUUGCUGCUAACCAUGGCAGGAUCACAAGCCGAUGAGACUGACUGGGAGAACAUGACGAACAAGGAGUUACAUGAUAAGUUUCAGCAAAUGAUGAGUGGACAGGUGGAAGAUGUGCUAAAUAGAUUUGAAGAGGCCAUGGAGAAGAUAGAUGGCAUUGAGAAGGCGUUCGAAACAAAGCUCGAUAACAAGUUUAAUGAAUUGCUCGCGCGUCUUCCACAACCACCGCCCGCUGCACCUAUCGCACCUCUACAACAACAACAACAACAACAUCGCCUUCCAAAUCAAGUGGGACGAGCACAGCGCGUUCCCCUUGAGCCUGGUCAAACUUCUGGUGCCGCUGUACAUACUGUUGAUGCUUCUGUAGCUCCUGCUACUACUGCAGAGGUGGAGGACCAUUACGAGGAUGAGGUUGAUCAAAAUCAGAACUACGUGCAACCACCGGCACCACCACCACCAGGUCGUCCUCAUGCAUAUCAUCGCAACGGUAGGGCUGCACCACCUGAGGUACAAGCUCAUGACCAUCUUCCUAAACUAAAAUUGAAUAUUCCACCAUUUGAGGGUAGAUAUGUUCCUGAUAUAUAUCUUACUUGGGAGUUAGAAACUGAACAAUGGUUUACAUGUUUACAAUAUCCUAAGGAGAGACGUGUUCCUGCUGCUGUUUGUGCUUUCACUAGUUUUGCAUGUGUUUGGUGGUCUGAACAUUGUAGAUUGUAUCCCAUUCCAGCUACUUGGGCUGCCUUGUAAACUGCUAUGCGUACUCGUUGGGUUCCACCUUAUUAUCAACGUGAAUUACUUCAAAAAUUGCAGCGCUUAAGACAAGGAAAAAAUUCUGUAGAAGAAUAUUAUCAGGAAUUACAAACUGGCAUGAUUAGAUGUGGUAUUGUUGAGGAGAAUGAAGAUAUGCUUGCACGUUUUAUGGGUGGAUUAAAUAGAGAGAUUCAGACCAUUCUAGAGUAUAAGGAGUAUAAUAAUAUCACUCGUUUAUUCCAUCUUGCUUGUAAAGCUGAACAUGAAGUGCAGGAUCGACAGGCAUUGGCACGGACUAACUUUUCUGCAGGUUGACCUUCAUCAUGGACACUGCGUGCAUCCUCUACUUCCACACAUUCUACUGCACCGACACCUCCAUCAGCGGCCACCUCCAGCCGUGAUACAAGAAAGCAGGCACAACCACCACUAUCUACCAAGAGCACACCUGACGAGCCUGUACAGAGCUCUUCUUCUUCCAUGGCAUCAACAGGGCACACAAGUGAUAUUAUUUGUCGUUGUUGUAAGGGAAGAGAUCAUUAUGCGAGAGAACGCAAAUCUCGACGUGUGAUGAUUGCUACUGAGGAUGGUGGUUAUGAGUCCACUAGUGACUAUGAUGAUGAGACUUUGGCUCUUAUUACACGUGAAAUACACGGUGGAGAUGAUUCUGAAAAUGAGACGCAAUACAUGGCUCCUGAAGACACUGACAGGUAUGAAUGUUUAGUUGCUCAACGUGUUUUGAGUGUGCAGGUCACACAAGCCGAGCAAAAUCAGAGGCAUAAUUUGUUCCAUACAAAGGGAGUGGUGAAGGAACGUUCUGUUCGCGUCAUCAUAGAUGGAGGGAGAUGCAACAACUUGGCUAGCAUGGAGAUGGUGGAGAAGCUAUCUCUCACCACAAGACCACAUCCACAUCCUUACUAUAUCCAAUGGUUCAAUAACAGCGGCAAGGUUAAGGUAACACGUACUGUUCGUGUGCAUUUUAGUAUCUCUACAUAUGCUGAUUAUGUUGAUUGUGAUGUGGUACCCAUGCAAGCAUGUUCCUUAUUACUUGGUAGACCAUGGCAAUUUGAUAAAAAUUCUGUACACCAUGGUAGGAACAAUCAGUAUACUCUUGUUCAUAAGGAUAAAAAUAUUACCUUGCUUCCUAUGACUCCUGAUUCCAUUUUUAAAGAUGAUAUUAAUAGAGCUAAUAAAGCAAAACAGGAGCACAACAAGAGUGAAAAUCAAAUUGUGGCAAAAGAAUUUGAGCAACAAAUGAAGCCUAAUAAUAAACCAUCUAGUGUUGUUUCUGAAAUUAAAUUGAAAAGUGCAUGUUUACUUGCCACCAAAUCUGAUAUUGAUAAUCUAGAUUUCAGCAAAUCUGUUUGCUAUGCUUUUGUGUGCAAAGAGGCAUUAUUUUCAUUCGAGGACAUGCCUUCCUCUUUGCCUCCUAUUGUUACUAACUUUUUGCAGGAGUUCGCUGACGUCUUUCCACAAGACGUGCCACCGGGAUUACCACCUAUUCGAGGGAUUGAGCAUCAGAUUGACUUAAUUCCCGGUGCUUCGCUACCCAACCGUGCACCAUACCGUAACAAUCCAGAGGAGACAAAGGAGAUUAUGCGUCAAGUCCAGGAGCUGCUCGAGAAAGGUUAUAUUCGUGAAUCCCUUAGUCCUUGUGUUGUUCCUAUUAUUCUAGUGCCGAAAAAGGAUGGUACAUCGCGUAUGUGUGUUGAUUGUAGAUGCAUUAAUAAUAUUACUAUUCGUUAUCUUCAUCCUAUUCCUAGGCUAGAUGAUAUGCUUGAUGAACUGAGUGGCUCUACAAUAUUCUCCAAAGUUGAUUUGCGUAGUGGAUACCAUCAAAUUCGUAUGAAAUUGGGAGAUGAAUGGAAAACUGCAUUUAAAACUAAGUUUGGUUUAUAUGAGUGGUUAGUCAUGCCUUUUGGGUUAACUAAUGCACCUAGUACUUUCAUGAGAUUAAUGAACGAAGUUUUACGUGCUUUCAUUGGACGAUUUGUGGUAGUCUACUUUGAUGAUAUACUGAUUUAUACUAAAUCUUUGGAGGAGCAUUUGGAACAUUUACGUGCUAUUUUUAUUGCUCUACGUGAUGCACACUUGUUUGGUAACCUUGGAAAGUGCACCUUUUGCACCGACCGAGUAUCUUUUCUUGGCUAUGUUGUUACUCCACAGGGAAUUGAAGUUGAUAAAGCCAAGAUUGAAGCUAUUGAGAGUUGGCCGCAGCCCAAAACGGUCACACAAGUGAGGAGUUUCCUUGGCCUCGCUGGUUUCUAUAGGCGUUUUGUGAGAGAUUUCAGCACCAUUGCUGCACCUCUCAACGAGCUUACAAAGAAGGAUGUGCCUUUUGUUUGGGGUACCGCACAGGAAGAAGCCUUCACGGUAUUGGAAGAUAAGUUGACACAUGCUCCUUUACUCCAACUUCCUGAUCUUAAUAAGACUUUUGAGCUUGAAUGUGAUGCUAGUGGAAUUGGACUAGGAGGUGUGUUAUUACAAGAUGGCAAACCUGUUGCAUACUUUUCUGAAAAAUUGAGUGGGCCUAGUCUGAACUAUUCUACUUAUGAUAAAGAAUUAUAUGCUCUUGUUCGGACCUUAGAAACAUGGCAACAUUAUUUAUGGCCCAAGGAAUUUGUUAUACAUUCUGAUCAUGAAUCUUUGAAACAGAUUAAAAGUCAAGCAAAACUGAACCGUAGACAUGCUAAAUGGGUUGAAUUCAUUGAGACUUUCCCUUAUGUCAUUAAACACAAGAAGGGUGAAGAAAAUCUUAUUGCUGAUGCAUUGUAUCGUCGUUAUACUAUGCUUUCACAACUUAACUUUAAAAUAUUUGGUUUGGAGACCAUCAAAGAUCAAUAUGUGCAUGAUGCUGAAUUUAAAGAUGUAUUGCAGAAUUGUAAGGAAGGGAGAACUUAGAACAAGUUCGUCGUUAAUGAUGGAUUUGUGUUUCGUGCUAACAAGCUAUGCAUUCCAGCUAGCUCCAUUCGUCUUUUGUUGUUGCAGGAGGCGCAUGGAGGAGGAUUAAUGGGAUGCUUUGGCGUGAAGAAGACGGAGGAUAUACUUGCUACACAUUUCUUUUGGCCAAAGAUGAGACGGGAUGUUGAGCGUUUUGUUGCUCGCUGCACUACAUGUCAAAAAGCCAAGUCACGACUCAAUCCUCAUGGUUUAUAUAUGCCUUUACCUGUACCUAGUGUUCCUUGGAGGAUAUAUCUAUGGACUUUGUUUUACGUUUACCUCGAACAAAGAAGGGGAGGGAUAGCAUAUUUGUUGUCGUGGAUAGGUUCUCGAAAAUGGCACACUUUAUACCAUGUCAUAAAACCGAUGAUGUUGUUAAUGUUGCUGAUUUGUUCUUUCGUGAAAUUAUUCGCUUGCACGGUGUGCUAAAUACUAUUGUUUCGGAUCGUGAUACUAAAUUUCUUAGCCAUUUUUGGAGAUGUUUAUGGGCUAAGUUGGGGACUAAACUGCUUUUUAGUACUACAUGUCAUCCCAAAACUGAUGGACAAACUGAAGUAGUCAAUAGAACAUUGUCUACCAUGCUUAGGGCCGUUUUGAAGAAUAACAAGAGAGUGUGGGAAGAAUGCUUGCCUCAUAUUGAAUUUGCUUAUAAUCGGUCACAUGGGGCAAUCUGUAAAGAGCAGACACCUAGAAUUUUGAG
RNAcentral lists this long non-coding RNA (7807 nucleotides) under Triticum aestivum (bread wheat). RNAcentral describes it as "long non-coding RNA (TAES_LNC013211)". The record is from RNAcentral. Lineage: Eukaryota; Viridiplantae; Streptophyta; Magnoliopsida; Poales; Poaceae.